GAUGAACGCUGGCGGCGUGCCUAACACAUGCAAGUCGAGCGAUUCUCUUCGGAGAAGAGCGGCGGACGGGUGAGUAACGCGUGGGUAACCUGCCCUGUACACACGGAUAACAUACCGAAAGGUAUGCUAAUACGAGAUAAUAUGCUUUUAUCGCAUGGUAGAAGUAUCAAAGCUUUUGCGGUACAGGAUGGACCCGCGUCUGAUUAGCUAGUUGGUAAGGUAACGGCUUACCAAGGCGACGAUCAGUAGCCGACCUGAGAGGGUGAUCGGCCACAUUGGAACUGAGACACGGUCCAAACUCCUACGGGAGGCAGCAGUGGGGAAUAUUGCACAAUGGGCGAAAGCCUGAUGCAGCAACGCCGCGUGAGCGAUGAAGGCCUUCGGGUCGUAAAGCUCUGUCCUCAAGGAAGAUAAUGACGGUACUUGAGGAGGAAGCCCCGGCUAACUACGUGCCAGCAGCCGCGGUAAAAGUCAACGUCG
This 480-nucleotide ribosomal RNA is filed under the name uncultured bacterium. RNAcentral describes it as "bacterial SSU rRNA". It matches the Rfam family "Bacterial small subunit ribosomal RNA", at positions 28 to 534 of the family's 1533-position model. The record is from RNAcentral.